UUUAAUUCAUACAUCUUAUUUAAUUUCUGUUGUUGAUUUAUUUAUUUUUAUUUGAUGUUAAGAUUAAGGGGGAUUAGCUCCUUGUUCUAGCUUUAUAAUUGUCUGAGUUUAAUUUAGUUUUGUGGAUUUUAUGGUGAUUUUCUAUUUGAUUAUGUUAAAAUUUUAUUUGUUCUUUUUUUAAUUUUUUGUUAUUUAAGUUAUUUAUUGAAAUGUUUUCUUUACUUUGGUUUGUAUAGUAAUUAUUGUGUAAUUAGUAAAUUUUAUUGGUUGUUUUGUGAGAGAUGGUAGGUGUUAAUUGCUUUUGAGGAAUUCGGCAAAGUUCUAUGUCCGCCUGUUUAACAAAAACAUCUUUUCUUGUUAGUUUUUGAAGUAUGGCCUGCCCACUGACUUAGAGUUGAAGGGCCGCGGUAUUUUGACCGUGCAAAGGUAGCAUAAUCAUUAGUUCUUUAAUUGUGAUCUGGUAUGAAUGGCUUGACGAGACAUAAGCUGUCUUGGAGGUAUUGGUUUAUUGAAUUUGGUUUUUGAGUUAAAAUUCUUAAAUGUUUUUAUGGGACGAGAAGACCCUAUAGAGUUUGACAAUUUUCCUAUUUAUUCGUUGUUUGUAUUUAUUUACAUUGAGUGGGAGUGAAUUGUUUUGUUGGGGUGAUGGGAGGAAUAUUAUUUAACUCCUCUUUGUUUUUAUAUAUUUAU
Molecule: ribosomal RNA, 690 nt
Filed under: Nasutitermes corniger
Lineage: Eukaryota; Metazoa; Arthropoda; Insecta; Blattodea; Termitidae
Description: partial 16S ribosomal RNA
Rfam family: Archaeal large subunit ribosomal RNA (bases 286-539)
Source: RNAcentral